CCCUUAGAUGUUCUGGGCCGCACGCGCGCUACACUGAACAGUUCAACAAGUCUUAACCUUGGCCGAUAGGUCUGGGUAAUCUUUGAACGCUGUUCGUGAUUGGGAUAGACCUUUGCAAUUAUGGGUCUUCAACGAGGAAUUCCUAGUAAACGCAAGUCAUCAGCUUGCAUUGAUUACGUCCCUGCCCUUUGUACACACCGCCCGUCGCACCUACCGAUUGAAUGGUCCGGUGAAAUCUCGGGACGGCGGCUUGGUUGCUUGCGUCCGACUGCUGAAACUUGAUUAAACCAUAUCAUUUAGAGGAAGGUGAAGUCGUAACA
RNAcentral lists this ribosomal RNA (320 nucleotides) under uncultured eukaryote. RNAcentral's name for it is "partial 18S ribosomal RNA". It matches the Rfam family "Eukaryotic small subunit ribosomal RNA", at positions 1470 to 1796 of the family's 1831-position model. The record is from RNAcentral.